Molecule: ribosomal RNA, 331 nt
Filed under: Ralstonia pickettii
Lineage: Bacteria; Pseudomonadati; Pseudomonadota; Betaproteobacteria; Burkholderiales; Burkholderiaceae
Description: bacterial SSU rRNA
Rfam family: Bacterial small subunit ribosomal RNA
Source: RNAcentral
ACGAAAGGGCACUCUAGAGAGACUGCCGGUGACAAACCGGAGGAAGGUGGGGAUGACGUCAAGUCCUCAUGGCCCUUAUGGGUAGGGCUUCACACGUCAUACAAUGGUGCAUACAGAGGGUUGCCAAGCCGCGAGGUGGAGCUAAUCCCAGAAAAUGCAUCGUAGUCCGGAUCGUAGUCUGCAACUCGACUACGUGAAGCUGGAAUCGCUAGUAAUCGCGGAUCAGCAUGCCGCGGUGAAUACGUUCCCGGGUCUUGUACACACCGCCCGUCACACCAUGGGAGUGGGCUUUACCAGAAGUAGUUAGCCUAACCGCAAGGAGGGCGAUUAC